Molecule: long non-coding RNA, 962 nt
Filed under: Drosophila guanche
Lineage: Eukaryota; Metazoa; Arthropoda; Insecta; Diptera; Drosophilidae
Source: RNAcentral
UGUAUAAAAAGUAUAAUAACUGACUGAGCAACCAAGUUUUUGUCCAUUUCUCGGCUUUCCAUGGGCCUCCUACAAAACGGAGAUCAUGUUGGCUGUGCUAAUGCAAUCAUUUUUCACUCACAUUGAAAGUGUUAAACAGUUAAGACAAAACUGAAUAAAAUCACUUAGAAAAUUUCAAAAAUCUGUGCGGACAAAACCUAAAGGUAAGCGAGAUGUUCUAAAAUAUGCAAGUUUUUCUGAAGUUUUGACAGUCUUCUAGAUCAUGCCUUUGCGACGAAGCAUUAGGAAUGAACUUGCUGCCACCCAAGGUUAUACAAGUAGCGCCGUAAAACGUCCUGCAACCCACCGUGCUGCCACCGCCACCCGAAAUGCUACUAGUAGCGCCGUAAAACGUCCUGCAACCGACUGCAUAAGGAAUCGGCAUGCUGCCACCGCCACCCGAAAUGCUACUAGUAGCGCCGUACAAUGUCCUGCAACCCACCUUGAUGUUAGUGCUGCUGAACAGCGUUUUCACCUUGAAGCUCGACAAAUGUAUUGGCGGAUGAAUGCAUAUGACACUGAACUUCAAAAUAUCGCCUUAGUUCCACGGCCUCUACCCUGAAGCAGGCCACAGGGUCUGGAGCGUUUUCCUUCGCCGCAGUCUCGGGGCGGCGGCGCCAAAGGACGUCUUGGUCAUGAGCUGAACGAAAUAAUGCAUGCACAACUACGAUAUCCAUUGGGGUCGUCAGGAUUGGGAUCUGCUAGCAGCGACAUGAUCGAUAGGAGAACUUUAUCUACAGUCAAGAUAGACGACAAGUUGUGCGAUAGUAUGUCCAGGCACUUUGAAUUAGAUAUAUUAUUUCCACCAAACUACCCGCAUGCCCCGCCUCAUGUACAAUUUACGACUCAGAUUUACCACUGCAACAUAACCCCGCCACUGGUGAUCAGUGAUCAGUGAUCAGUGAUCAGUUAUCUGGAAAUAA